UGUUUAACUGUCACUUUUCUCUUUAUAG
This 28-nucleotide non-coding RNA is filed under the name Cricetulus griseus (Chinese hamster). The record is from RNAcentral. Lineage: Eukaryota; Metazoa; Chordata; Mammalia; Rodentia; Cricetidae.